AGGGCCGCGGUAAUUUGACCGUGCGAAGGUAGCAUAAUCAUUAGUCUUUUAAUUGAAGGCUUGAAUGAACGGUUGGACGAGAUAUAAGCUGUCUCUAUAAUGAGGUAGAAUUUAACUUUUGAGUGAAAAGGCUUAGAUGGAUUAGGGGGACGAUAAGACCCUAUAAAACUUUAUACAGCGCGGUGCAUUUAAAGGAUUUAGUUUAAAUUGGUAUGUAUUGGUCUGUAUUUUGUUGGGGAGACAAAAAUAUAAUUUGUAACUGUUGGUGUAAUGUAAUAUAAAUUAAUAGGUUUUGAUCCUUUACUAGAGAUUAAAAGGUUAAGUUACUUUAGGGAUAACAGCGUAAUUUCUUUUGAGAGUUCUUAUCGACAAAGGUAGUUGCGACCUCGAUGUUGAAUUAAAAUUUUAAUUGGGUGUAGCAGCUUGGUUGGUAGGUCUGUUCGACCUUUAAAAUUUU
This 457-nucleotide ribosomal RNA is filed under the name Periclimenes laevimanus. Its description in RNAcentral is "partial 16S ribosomal RNA". It matches the Rfam family "Bacterial large subunit ribosomal RNA", at positions 1927 to 2597 of the family's 2925-position model. The record is from RNAcentral. Lineage: Eukaryota; Metazoa; Arthropoda; Malacostraca; Decapoda; Palaemonidae.